This 2819-nucleotide long non-coding RNA is filed under the name Equus caballus (horse). RNAcentral's name for it is "lncRNA (ENSECAG00000054308.1)". The record is from RNAcentral. Lineage: Eukaryota; Metazoa; Chordata; Mammalia; Perissodactyla; Equidae.
GAAAUUAAAGAAAUUAAAUAGAAAAUAAAGGAUUUUAAAAGCACAAAAGAAAAUAGGUAAUAUUUAAAAAAAUUCUUAUAGACAAUUACUUUCUUCUGAAUCUUAAGCAUUUGAGAUUAAAUACUGGAUUCAGACUAAGGAGUCACUGAACUUUAAUUUGAGGAUGUUAUGAAGAUACAGUAAAUGAGUUAAUCACAUAUGAAAGUACUCUGGAUUCUUUUCAGUGACCAGAUUAGCAUAAAAGCAAAGUGUUAUUUCAUGUUGCAUUUAUAGGUUGCAUAUAUGAUACAUACUUUAAUGACCACUGUCUGAAAACACGCGUAAGAUUAGAAGGUUUGACGAAACUGAGAAGUCAAAGAUUUCAUCUAUUAUUACUCAUCUUCUAUGUCUCUUUAUGCCUGAGUAUAUCUAUCCACUGGGAAGUUGUGGAGAUGCUUGAGAUAGUAUUUACUACACUUGAGGUCAUUGACUGGACACUUUCAUAUAGAAAGCACAGUGCUGUGCAAUCAUUACCUCCCUUCGUUACAGAAAGGCUUGGAUCAACAGGUGGACUUCGUACCUUUCUCGUUAGACAUUUCAGUUUGAGCUAACAGCUGGAAAGUCAGCUCUGCAUAAAGUUAGCAUGUCCUCCAGCAAUAUCAUUAUGCUUUACAUUUUAAAUUAGAGAAUAAAAAAGUCUGUUUUAAUUUGCAAUUCAAGUCCCAUCCCUUUUAGGAGGGCAAGUUGGAGUAAGGUGACAGAAUCAUGCACAGUGCCCUAACAAACUGCAUGGAGGAAGACGUGUGUGCACGCCCUAACUGGAACAGAACUGGGGAAGCAACCGGAGAGGAAGCCAGAGAAGAAAGUGAGAGUGGCCUGGGAGCCUAGCAGGCUGUCCGGAUGUGUCCUACAGGGAGUCACUUUCCUGGUGUGGACACCAGUCUGUGAAGUCUGGUCUUAUUUUGAGACAGUGACCAUCAAACAGAGGAGGACGAGGCUGGGAGUGGGAUGGAUGACCUGCUCUAUCGAGGAGCCUCAGUCCGGCGAAGCUGUUUAAAGCUACGUAAGUUGCUCUAUCCUCCCCUCUGUCCUCCCUCUUACUCAACCCCUUGUCAUUCUGAUAGCCCCUUGCAAGAUGACAUGAUCCCUGAUUGAAAAUUAUAGCUAUUAUUUCUUUAGGAAGGGUAUAAUUUGCUCAACUAUAUAGAAAAAAGGCAGAGAAUUGUUGCCUUAGGCUAAAAUUUUCCAAAUUUUUCUCAACAUAAGAAUUGUCUCAGGCACUUACUUAAAAAGGUAUCUGGAUGAGGGCCAGCCCCACGGCAUAGUGAUUAAGUUCACAUACUCCACUUCAGUGGCCUGGGUUCACAGGUUCAGGUCCUGGGCACAGACCUACACCACUCGUCAGCCAUGCUGCAGUGGCGACCCACAUACAAAAUAAAGGAAGAUUGGCACAGAUGUUAGUGCAGGGCAAAUCUUCCCUGGCAAAAAAUAAAUAAAUAAAAUAAAAUAAAAUGGCCUCUUGAAUCCCUCUCCAGAAGAUUCAUUAAGCUGUGGGUGGGCCCCACGUGAUGAUGCUGGUGAAACUGGCAAAUUUGGGCAAUCCUGCUCCAGGCUAAUCUAUCUGGAAUCAAAUCAUUGUCAUCACGCAGGCCUCCUUUUGCUACUGCUGAAUUUUCCAAGGCAGCUGUUCCCUCUCCCCUCCAGUAGAUUUUCAGAACUUUAUCCAUCAUUUCUCAUUCUCAUUUCUUAUGUGGCCCCAACACUUACUCCUUUAUGCUGGAGGUGAGGGUCAUGCUGUAAAAAUAAAGCAAUCCUGCUGUUAGCAUAUACACAGUCAAGCAUAUACACAGAACUCCAGAGGUUAGACCAGCCCUUACUUCUGGUUCAAGACUAUAUUUCAACCAACCAGAUUCCCCCCAGUGAUGGAUAGUUGGUACUCUCCAGCCCGAUCAACUUUCCAAUCCUGCUCCAUCCACAGCUGUAUAUUAUCCUAACAGACCCCAUGGCUUCUUCUCUUGCUCAGCAGAGCAUGGCUGUCCACCUCCACCCCUUCUGGAACUCUCUUCCCCUAGAACAGAUGCUUAGUACGUUUUAACUAACUUUUUCCUGAUUAUUCCCCAAAUAUUUGUCAUAAUUUGUCAUUCAUAUCAAGUAUAUCUUAGUGCAGCUGAUUAGGGGUAGAUUAGCGUUUUUUGGAUCCUGAGGGAGGAAAAGGGGAGGGCAGAGAUCCUCAUAGCAGUUUGGCCUCUGAACAGAACAGCUAAUAUAAAAUAAGACAAUUUGCACUAAGAUUAACCUCCUCUUGACAUAUCUCCUGAACUUUAUCAUGCUAAGUAAGUAUGUCUCCAUUCCAGCCUUGAGUUACAAUACACUAGACCACCUUCCAAUACCCGGGCCUUGGGAAGGCUCAGGCUGUCAGCUCUGGGAAAGGUAGGGGGUGGGUUUAGGGAGAAAACCUACCCCACUCCCCCGGUCACAUGCCUGUUCCUUCUCCAUAGGCUUACUUCCAUAACACUCUGUGAUUCCCUUCCCCUCGUCUCCCUGACUCUACCCAUCACCCCCUAACCCUUCUCACGUACCCGCUCUCUACUUCACCAUCAGAAACUCUUAUAUGCUCAAUUGUUUCUCAGAAUAGUCUCUAUAUUUUUUGGCCUUAACUGCACUCUGGGGACACACUUUCCCUGCAGUCUGUCAAGGAUGUCUGAUUAUCUUCUCAUACUCUGUGCACCUUGGAGGUGAAAGGUAAAUCCGUGUCCCUCUGAUUUCUAGAGAUACUUCUGGACAGAGAUUGUGCCAGGCUUUUGUGAAAUGCCCUGCUCCUUUGAGGCCUUCAUGUCUUC